CAUGAGAUCAUCACCUGACCCAAAGUCGUAUGCUCAACCGACUGAGCCACCCAGGUGCCUCAGUAGGUAGCAUACAGUCGCCCACAGCUGGAGUCGCCUCUGGGAUGUGCCACUGCCACCAGUCGGCUAUGAUGGGAACUUGGCUCAUACUGGCAGCCACCUCUGUCCACACCAGUGUUCGGCAAAUGAAGCCCCAAGCGGAAAUCUGCCAAUUUAAAGGAAGUGGUGCUCUGUGGGUAUGCUGUUCCCUUUGAACCUCAGUGAAAUAAUCACUGCUUCACAUCUUUUAUUGCCGUGCCAUUAAUCUGAUAUGGGCGGGGGGUGGGAGGAUAUCAGUAGACAAAUUCUAAGGAAGGAAGCAUUUUAGUGGGUAGCUGAGAACCAGAGAAUCUUCCCACUGGCUUGGGGUAGAGGAGCAGUGCUGGGAGAGCCGCACAUCCUUGACAUCAGGGUGAUCCGGCAGAUGGAAGUGAAAGCAUGAUCCUCGCCAUCUGGGUAACCCGUGUGUGGAAAGCUGGUGGUUUCACACAUGUACACACUCUUUGCAAAACAGCAUAUGUUACAGCCACCCAGUAUCAUCCAUGACCAAAACCUGUUAGAAUUUGUAAACAGCUUGGAAGAACAACAAGAAAACUCUUAAUUGGGGUCUAUUUGGGCUUCCUUUAUCGAAGUGAGUGUCAUGUUAAAGUAAGGUCUUGUGACUCGCUUACAAGCUUUGGCACAUGUAAGUGCUGUCUCGGGCAGAGCCUACGCAAGGGACAAGUAUUAGCAUUUUAAAGGUAUUGAGGACAUUUUUAGAAGCCGUAACCCCUGUUGUCCCCAGUUCUAUUCACAAUGAACAGAAAAUUCACAUAAAAACGAAUGAACAAACAAAACUACUGGGAGAUGAUUAGCUUUGAAGAAUGAAGUAUAAACUGUUAGUUUCAUGCACAUGCUAAUUGCUUUCUACUGGUGCCACACAGAGAAAGGACCUGUAAGUGGGAACACUUCUUGCUGGAGUAUCUGGUGAGAUUAUGUAUAUGAAAGUGCAUUAUAGACUGUAAAGUGGUAUACAAAUGUGAUUAUUUACAGUGACAUUAGAAACUACCCCACAUGCCCCUCCCACCCGGAUCUCUUCUCUGUCUGUGAUUACAUGGCCUUUAUGUAUGGUACAAGCAAACACACAUGCGGGCAUAUCUAGAUUAUGUGAAGGAAGCUCUUUUCAACGUUUAUUUAUUUUUGGGACAGAGAGAGACAGAGCAUGAACGGGGGAGGGGCAGAGAGAGAGGGAGACACAGAAUCGGAAACAGGCUCCAGGCUCUGAGCCAUCAGCCCAGAGCCUGACGCGGGGCUCGAACUCACCGACCGCGAGAUCGUGACCUGGCUGAAGUCGGACGCUUAACCGACUGCGCCACCCAGGCGCCCCAGGAAGCUCUUAAUUAAACCUGUCACUUUUCUCUCUGGCCCUCAUCCAUAAUGUAGAGUUCUCUCCUUCUCCUAAUAGGUACCUAGGAUUCAUGGGCUUUUUUUCUCUGGCAUCUCAGAAGUUCUCCGGUCCUCCAAGGGACUCUUCAAUCUGAAGAUUAAGUGAGAUAGUUCUCAUAAAGUGCUUAGACAUUUCACCCAUAGAUACAUAGUAACGCUGGCAAUUACGAUUCUUCUGUCAUCACCCUGUCUUGUGUGUGGAUAUAAGGCCUGCCAUCUUCCUGGACUUCUGAGCCUGGGACCCCAAGAGUUCCCUAGAAUAGUAUAGAUGCUUACAAGCAAGUUGGCUAGAGAGUUUUGCUUGUUUCAACUUUUGCUGUUUGAGUAAAACUCAAAUCACUUUCCAUCAAUAAUCAGUUGCCACAUUUAAAAAAAUGAUUAUAAUUAUAACAGUU
Molecule: long non-coding RNA, 1859 nt
Organism: Felis catus (domestic cat)
Lineage: Eukaryota; Metazoa; Chordata; Mammalia; Carnivora; Felidae
Exons: 2
Source: RefSeq, a predicted model, not a curated record